Oryza sativa Japonica Group (Japanese rice) is the source of this 3946-nucleotide non-coding RNA. NCBI's taxonomy places the organism in Eukaryota, Viridiplantae, Streptophyta, Magnoliopsida, Poales, Poaceae. The record is from RefSeq and is a predicted model, not a curated record.
CUUUGGUCGAUCUCCCACAGAGGGGCAGCCAGGCGCCAGCUCGGGCAGGGUACGCACGGCGCGCACCAGCGACGAGCAGCUCGUGCCUCGACGGCUGGCGGCGAGUCUUCCAUCCAUGGCUGGAAAAUUGGCAAUGGAAGGUACCCCGCUCCUUCUUGACUCCUCCGCAGUUGCUUCCUCCAUCUCUUUUUCUGGGCACGGGCUGCGGUCGCCACCUUCCAGGGUUGCUCCUCAGCUGUUCGGUUAAAUGCCUGAAUGCACCACGCUGUUGCUAUCAACAGGGAAUGCAAUGUUUACGUGCACAGUGCUCCACGCCUCCACCUCCAUGGCUGUCAAGUUGAAUUUCUGGGCAUCAACAAUAUUAUUUUUGUGAAAAUAGAGAAAAGUACGUUUUAAUACUCCUUCGUCCAUGAAUCACCCAAAAGGGAACUCUUUGCUCUGGCCACAGAAGAAGAGAGAAAUAUUAUACUCCAUAAAAUGUGCAUUGCCAUAGUAGAGCCUGUAUAUCUCAGCCAUACUUGGAAAGGCUGGACUGCUCCUGCCUACUGAGUACUGACUUUGUGUUGCAAGGUACAUCGAAACACUGAACAGAGUUACAACAACGAGAGAACACAAGGAUGGACAGGGAUCUAGCGGCCACUAAGAAGCCGCAGAAAGAGAAGGGAGCAAAGCCGAAGUGAAGAUGUUCCUCCAAGCAUCGGUGGAGCUUCUGGCGGAGUCGUUGAGGCGGAAACUCCACAUUCUCCAGAAGCAAAGAAGGUAGAAGCAUUUGUACUGCUCCGAUGGAAUGCAGCUGGGCGGCUGGAUGAGGUUGAGAGCCUUCAUAGAGGGAAUGUUGGGGUUUGCAUGAGUUAGGUCCCAAAAGGCCUUUGCCACCGAGCAGUGAAGGAAAAGGUGCUCCGCAGUCUCUGGAGCAAUCUUGCAAAUCUCGCAGACAUCGGAGGGAGUGAUGUUUUUCUUUUUGAGAUUCACCCUCAUUGGCAGUCUGUCUUUCGCGAGUAACCAAGCAAAGAACUGAACCCGGGGAGGGGCCUUGUUUUUCCAAACGAAUUUCCAAUUCGAACAGCAGGUUGGUCUUGAGUUUAGGAUUCCAUAAAGCUUUGAGCAGGAGAAUGUAUUUUGAUUUGUUUGGAAGGUAAGUGAUCUGCUGUCUUGUUCUGCGCUCAGCUGGAAGUUUUGAAGCAGCGUAGAGAGAUGAGCCAAAUCUUGUGAAGCAGCUGCUGUGAGCCUAGGCUGCCACAGGUGAUCAUAUGAACUGAGCAUUUCUUUUACUGACACAGAAGGCUUCAGGCAGUGGGAGAACAGCGCCGGCAUUUUAGAAGCAAGAGGAAUGUCGGAGAUCCAAGUGUCGAACCAGAAAGAAGUUUUGUCUCCAGAUCCAACGCAGCAUUUUGUGUUAACUUGAUAUAGAGGCAGGAGUUUGGUUAGGCUACGGACGUGGGGUCCCAAUUUGAAUCAGGGAGCAACUUGUCUUGAGGAAUUUCAUUCCACAGCCAGAUGGUCCAAGGAGUAGAAGAGACGUGAAGCUUGUGCAGGUUUUCAACAGUAAACAGGAGUUUUGUUUAGCAAGGUCCUUAAUUCCUAGGCCACCGAAUUUUUUGUCAGUGCAGACUUCAUCCCAGGAUACCAAACAUUUUGAACCAGAGCACGAAUCAUCACCAGUCCAAAGGAAGGCUCUUCUUCUUUUGUCAAUCGCCGCAAAUACUCCUUUCGGGAGCUCCAUAGCCGCCAUUGCGUAGGUAGGGAGAGAUGAUAGAAUUGCAUUAAUGAGGAUGAUCCUGUCUGCGUAGUUCAGUAAGGAGGCCUGCCAGCUUGCAAGGAACCUGUCCACUCUUGAGAUCACAGGAGCAAAGGCAUCGAAGUUUAGCUUGGUUGUGGACAGCAGAAGUCCCAGAUAUGUCUGCGGGAAGUUUUCAAGUCUGCAUCCCAGCACAUUGGCAAGCUGGACUUGAUCUUCAGGGGGGACAUGAAUGCACACCAUGGUACUCUUGGAGUAGUUUAUCUCCAGUCCAGUUGCAGAAGAAAAAUCAUCAAGAAUCCGCUUGAUAAGGGCGACAUCCUGGGAGGAGGCUUUGCAGAUUAUUAAUGUGUCGUCCGCAUAUUGAAGUGUGGAGGGAGUCAUCUGCGGGUUGAGAGGAUGUCGUAGCUGGCUUUUCCGGAUGAGAGUUUGGAGCACAUCAGCUACAAUGAUAAACAGAUAAGGGGAUAGAGGAUCCCCCUGGCGAAGUCCUUGUUUGCAGGAGAUCCAAUUACCCGGCACACCAUUUAGGAUGAUAGAGGAUCUGGCAGAAGCGAGGAGCAUUUUGAUACAAGUGUUCCAAGAAUCAUUGAAUCCUCUGCAGUAUAGAAUUUUGUGUAAACUGUCCCACUGGACUGAGUCAAAAGCUUUGGCGAAGUCUAAUUUUAGGAUCACCGCAGGGGCUUUUCUCUUAUGACAGCACUGGACUAAUUCUGUUGCAUGAAUGAAGGUUUCAGAAAUAUGCCUCCCCUUGAGAAAACCUGUCUGGUCUAGCUGGAUAAUGGAGCUUAAUUCUUUCUGCAGUCUGAAACUGAGCACCUUUGAGAUUAUUUUAAGCGAGCAGUUCUGCAGGGCAAUCGGCCUGAAGUUGCAAGGUGCAGGUGCCUUUCCUUGCUUUUUGGAUGAGCACAAUGUAUGCCCUGUUGAUCUUGUCCAGGUCAAGGUUGUUGUAGUAGAAAUUAUGCAUCAGGUUGAGGACCUGAGGGAAAAUAAGAUUCCAGGCAGCCUGAUAGAAACUAGGGCCUAUUCCAUCCGGACCUGGGGCACUGUCCUUGUCCAUUUGCAUCACAGCCAGCUUUAUUUCUUCCAACUCGAAGAGCCCAGAGAUAUUAUCUGAAUUAAUCUGGGGGUGGCCUGAAUAUAACUCCAGAAGAUCAAAGUUCCAAUGAGUUGCUUUACUGGCUCCCAAAGAGUCAGAAAAUAAGUUGUACAGAAUCUGAGCUUUGGUUGAGUGAUCGUAUACAAAGUUGUUGUCCACCAGCAGCCCUCUGAUUGCAUUCUUUCUCAUCUUUACAGAGGCAUGAGCAUGGAAGAAUUUAGAGUUUGUUCCCAUGAAUUUGAUCCACUUGACUUUUGCUCUUUCUUUCCAGAAAAUCGAUUCUUGCUGAUUGAGAUCAGAAAGUUUAAGUUGUAAAAGAGAGCGUAAUUCCAUCAGAGCUGAGGAGCAGGUGCCGAAUUCCUCAAGGAAGUCAAUGUAAUCAAUUACAAAGUUACAAUCGUUUCUGCAAGCCUGGAUGAAUCUGUGAUCAUGUUUCCAGAUUUUUGCUCUCUGCCUUACCCUUUUGAGAUUCAGAUUGAGAUCGCCCGCCGCUUCGGUAUGUGGAUCUGGGAGGGACCAGCGCGAUAGAACGUAGGGAAGAAAGUCAGGAUUCAGCAGGGCCGAGUUGUCAAAUCUGAAGAUCUUGCUUUUAGGGAUUUUGGUUUGGAUGGAAAGAAGGAGCGGGACGUGAUCAGAGGUUGUUCUUGUUUGGGAAGUGAGGGAGCAAUUGGGGAGCAGAUCAUUCCAGGCUAAGUUGAAGAAGACUCUGUCGAUACGGGUAAGUGUGGGAUUAAGUCGCUUGUUGGACCAGGUGAAGAGUCUGUCUGAGAGUGUAAGUUCGAGCAGGGAGAGAUUCUCAAGAGUGUCGUUGAAAAGGGUGUAGUUGUGUUUGAAUGAGGCUAAUCGCUAUGGCGAAAAACCCAGUUUGUAGGUGUCAAAAUAAAUCACAGGUUUUACGAAUAUAAACGGUGCCAAAGCUGGGACAUGCUAGAACCUGGCAUAGGGAUUGCAGUCAUCUCAAGCAUCAAUAAUGUUGAUUUGAGAUGACACCAAGAGAUCAUAAUUGGAUAAAUCGUCAGAAGCUAAAUAGAUUACAAUGCAGGACUAAUGUGGUACAAUCACAAUAACUUUUACUCAUCUAAUAAGAUCAUAUGCACAUUCACUUGUUU